UGAUGAAAAACGUCAAAUUGUGCUGUCGACUAUCGUGCCAGUUGACAAGCUAAGCCGACAUUCGUGUUUGCUUUUUCCGUAGAGUGGUUCUCCCUCAUCUCACUCAAGUCACAAACACAGUUCUCGUGUUUAUUUAACAUUUCCAGUAGGAAAGCGAUUAGCGAUCAGGAUGAGAUGUUUCGUCAUCAUAUCUAAUGCAUUACGCAAUAGGGCAUCCGUCUGAAUAAAUUCCAUAUCGCUGUCAAAAAGCAAUUUCAAACAAACGUCAUUUCAAAAAAGUUUCUGUAAUGUUCCGAGAAUCAGAGUGUUGCAAGGCGAAUAUUUCGAGCACUAAAAAUGAUAUCGCUAGACCCAGAUGAUGCACAGUCUUUUCUUUUUCGACUCAAUCUGUGUUUAUGGCCUAAUUUUUUUGUUUGUGACUUGUGAGGACUUGUAUUCACCACGCCAUUAUUAACUAGUAGUGCAUUCAAGUGAAAGAUGUCCUACACCAUCUGCCACAUGCCGUUGAAAAAAUGCAUGAGAGUAUAACGUACAGCUGCUAGACGGCCCUAUAUGAUACCCUGGACUCAAGAGGCCGUAGGACCACUAGAGUGCUGCCUCAUUUCCUUAGCCCUAGAGACCCUAUUUCGGAAGGAUUAUACCCACAGCCCAGUCGUCAUUAGCUUUAAAGUUCUUUUUAUCUUUAAGCAGUAGAAUAUUGAAAUAGCUUCGCCAGGGAGAAAAAGAAAAAGGGUAGGCCUAUAGACUUGUAAUUUUCCUUCACACUUGAGCGUCAAAGAGAAUAGAGGAACCUGGGUGGAAUUUUUUGUGAGAAAAGAGCCUUAAGACGAUGGACAGUUAAAUGCCAAUAGGUGAGAAUCGUUGUGGAAAUGUCUUCAUUUCCCUUUCACUCACCGUAAAGCUCAUACACAAACACGGGAGCCCCUUCUCACAAAAAGCCCCUCGGUGCAUGGGAGAAAUAAAUAUACCACCACCACCAAGAGAAGAGCUGCGAAUGCUGUGGCUGCACACAUGCUGUUGUUGCAGUCCUACCAGGGAGUGUGGAAACCACUCCCUUUGAUGAUGCCGUCGCGCACUCAAUCAAUCAAUCAGGGGCUCCCUCGUCCGCAUCCGCGUCUUCGGUAAUGCAUCCCCCCCGCAACUUCUGGAGCGUCGACUCGAAUCCGGCGAUACCGCAGACUCCCGCCACCGUCUGUGUGCGCGAGAAAAGAUGUUGAAUGCCCCCCCCCCCCCCCUCACAUCACCAAAUCGAGCAGCAGACACACUCAAGAAUAGAAGCCGAUUUUUCUUAUACGAACGACGACGACGCCGGCCCUUUUGUGUCUUGCCACUGUGAUUGGCUCCUUCGGGAUUGUCUAUGCUGCUGCGGACGAAAAUGACCAACUGUUGAGAGCAAUUCUGAUCCCUCUUCCCUUGCACAAGACAAAAUUGAUGACAGGAUUACGAUUCUCGAAUCUGAAUCUGAUGCUAAAAUCAAGGAAUUUCAGCUAGAUUCUGAGGAUAGACUGAAGCAAUUUCAACUCGAUUUGGAUGCUAGAUUGGAGCAAGUGCAACUAGAUUCUGACGCAACAUUGCAGCAAUUGCAACUAGUAGUGUGGGCAUUUUAGCUUUUAAAAAAGGGGGGGGGGACCCGAAACGGAUUGUAAUAUGGUUUUUUUAUGAGACACCAGGCAAAACGAAGACGAAGAUUAGUAAUACUUAUUCCGUUAAAACAAUAGAUUUUAGGCUAUGGGGGUAAAAAAGUGUAGAAAGUAGAAAAGUGAUAGACGACCCGUAGUUAACAAAUUUUUUUAACAUGACAGUGAGCGGGUCGCGAUAAUUAUUGUUUUGGAUUGUGUGGCAUCUGGCCUUUUCAUUGCAUUCGUUUUUUUUUUUUUAAAUUCAGUUUUACUUUUAGUGUUGCGUAGUUUAACAUAUUGCAGUACGAUUUUUUGUUGAGUUACACCGUUUCCAUGAUUUUUAAAGGAAUAGCUAUAAUUAAAAAUGGGUUUUUAAAACUUAGUAAUUUGGUUCAAAUGUAAGAAACGUUAUUGGUUACAAGCAGGUCUUUUUUGUAAGUGCUUUCAUUACUCAUAAAAGUCAUAACAAAAUCUGACAAAAUCAUGAGAGUUUCAAUAAAUUGGCAGCGCCGCUUUCACAGAAGUUCGUCUGCAGAGCAAAAGUAUGAUGAAAAAAUCAAAUUCGUGUUGUGUCGGCUCUCCUUGGUUAGGAGUGUCAGUUAGUCCAUUAGUCCGUUCGGCUUUUGUACAGUUUCCUUUUAGUUACGCUCUUUAGCAUUGUUUUGCGAUUCGCAGACAAUAAUUCGUAUAAUAAUGUGAACGAGAGAGGAGCCCGAACGAAUCUUUGUUUCUUAUUACAUGUUCAUGGGGCAGAGAUGAUUCCUUUCUUCUGAUUACCAUGAAUGGAUGGCCUCAAGCUGGCGCAUCGUAUUGUUCCGCCGGAGAAGGAUCGUAGAAAGGAGAACUGGGCGAUUACUCAUCAACCUGGGCGACACGCGAAAUUGUCAAUUGCCCGGAAAGAAGUUAUCACGAGGUUUUCCUUUUAGAUUUGCCAGAUUCAGAUCAACACUUCUUGCUGGCUCGUGUCUCGAUGGUCUUAUUCUGCGUUGUUAUAAGGUAUUUUACAAUCCCAAGCGUUAAUAUUGUUUAAAAAUGUCUGAUAUUUAAAGCUCACUACGACAUUGUUUUAGCUGUUCGAUUCUUUGAUUAACUUAAAGGUUAAAAAUGAAAGAUUAUAGAGUAUACAGUAUAGAAUAUA
Molecule: long non-coding RNA, 2757 nt
Organism: Daphnia pulicaria
Lineage: Eukaryota; Metazoa; Arthropoda; Branchiopoda; Diplostraca; Daphniidae
Exons: 3
Source: RefSeq, a predicted model, not a curated record